CUCAACAGAGGCAAACUGAGCAGCCCAAUCUUUAAAAUGCCUGCUCCAAAGAGUCUACUGUAAGCUACAUGAUGGUCAUAGAGGAGAGCUGGAGUUCAGGGUCUGCCAUCUGAAGAUCCUAGAUAAAAAAACAUGUAGUAAACUACCCCUCCCUCAUGAUGGCUGCAAAUCUGCAUGCAGCCCAUUAACACUGAAAACACUGCACUAACUUCCUUGUUCCUCCCACCUACUAAUUCCACCACCACCUUUUUUUUUUGUCUUCCUCCUUACCUGAUAACUUUUGUUUAUUCUGUAAGCUAUUUGAGUCAGGGGCUGUCACUUCCUAUGUGUUUAUGCAGUGCCUUGCAGAAAGGCUGACAGCUGUAGUUGCCGUUAUAAUCAAGGAGAAAGGAGGGUGGGAUUUUCAAGGCACUAAGGAAAAUGAGUCAUUCACCUACCAUUGACAUUCAAUAGGCUUUGAGUACCUUUCUCCACUUUGAAAAUCUACAGUUACAAGUAUAAUAAUUAAGAUGUCCGUCAUCACCAAAACAUCCAUUGUUAAAAUAUGACACAGCCUCCAAUAGGGAAAACCUUCGUUUAGGGCAUAGUCAGUAACAAAAAGAAAUUUGUUUCAGAAGCGCUAAGAACUCAUUUGUUGAAAAUCAUGCACAACGGUGUUCAACAUACAUUCUGAAAUCCUGCACUUCCACACUGAAAAUAAUCAAUGUUAGCUAUCACAGGAAGAAAUAGAAUUAAAAAAAAUGCACCGUUCUGAAGAUGCAUGGCAUGGCAAGGCAAUAAAAGUCAUCACAAGAAAAAUCUGAACUGGAAUAAUUUCAUCCAUAGUGUGAAUGCAAUAUCGAAAACCACACUCAAAGAUGAGAAAACUUUUGGAAAAGGCAAGGAAGCUGACUAACCUGACCAAUAGGCUCUUUUGUCGGGGCCUUUCCUCUUCUCGCAGUGC
Anas platyrhynchos (mallard) is the source of this 943-nucleotide long non-coding RNA. RefSeq lists it as uncharacterized. NCBI's taxonomy places the organism in Eukaryota, Metazoa, Chordata, Aves, Anseriformes, Anatidae. The record is from RefSeq and is a predicted model, not a curated record.